GGUGAACGCUGGCAGCGUGGAUCAGGCAUGCAAGUCGAGAGGGUUUAGACCCUCGGCAAACGGGUUAGUAACGCGUAGGGAACCUACCCGAAAGUGGGGCAUAACCUAUCGAAAGAUAGGACAAUACCCCAUGGUCUGGUGCUGUAACUCAGCAUCAGUAAAGCUUUUGCGCUUUCGGAAGGUCCUGCGUCCUAUCAGCUUGUUGGUGAGGUAACGGCUCACCAAGGCUACGACGGGUAGGGGGUGUGAGAGCAUGGCCCCCAACAUUGGAACUGAGACACUGUCCAAACACCUACGGGUGGCUGCAGUCGAGAAUCUUCGGCAAUGCACGAAAGUGUGACCGAGCGACGCUGCGUGCAGGAAGAAGGCCUUCGGGUUGUAAACUGCUGUUCAUGGGGAAGAACUUUGACGGUACCCAUGCAGAAAGGAGCACCUAAUCACG
RNAcentral lists this ribosomal RNA (442 nucleotides) under uncultured bacterium. RNAcentral's name for it is "bacterial SSU rRNA". It matches the Rfam family "Bacterial small subunit ribosomal RNA", at positions 28 to 505 of the family's 1533-position model. The record is from RNAcentral.